This 516-nucleotide ribosomal RNA is filed under the name uncultured Eubacteriales bacterium. Its description in RNAcentral is "bacterial SSU rRNA". It matches the Rfam family "Bacterial small subunit ribosomal RNA", at positions 312 to 829 of the family's 1533-position model. The record is from RNAcentral. Lineage: Bacteria; Bacillati; Bacillota; Clostridia; Eubacteriales.
ACUGGGACUGAGACACCGUCCAGACUCCUACGGGGGGAAUCUAUAGCGAAGCUUGAACGCUGGGCCAAAGUCUGACGGAGGAACGACGAAGGCUGAAGAAGGCCUUCUGGUUGUAAAGGACUGUAGAAAGGAAAGAACCCUCAUGUGAAACACAUGUAUGAAAUUGACGGCACCUAACGAGAAACCCCCGGUAACUACUUGUCCGCAUCCACUGGAAUACAAAAGGUGCGAGGGUGGCCGGAAUCAUGGCGCGAAAAGGGCGCGUUUGACGACUUGAGAGCCUGAUGUAAACUGCGGUGCUUAAUUCCAUAAAGAGAUGGAAACUGUGAGGCUUGAGACAGGAGAGGAAAGUGGAAUUCCUCGCGUAGCGCUAAAGUGCGUUCAUAUAGAUGGAACACCCUGAGAAAAGGAGACUUUCUGAACUGACACUAACACAACGCGCGAAGGCCUGGGGAGCGAACAGGAUUACAUACCCUGGGAGGACCCACGCUGACAAUGACAGCUAUGAGUAGAGGG